AUUGAACGCUGGCGGCAUGCCUUACACAUGCAAGUCGAACGGCAUCGCGGGAAAGCUUGCUUUCCUGGCGGCGAGUGGCGAACGGGUGAGUAACACAUCGGAACGUACCGGCUAGUGGGGGAUAACCCGUCGAAAGACGGGCUAAUACCGCAUACGCUCUUCGGAGGAAAGCAGGGGACCUUUGGGCCUUGCGCUAGCCGAGCGGCCGAUGUCCGAUUAGCUAGUUGGUGGGGUAAAGGCCUACCAAGGCGACGAUCGGUAGCGGGUCUGAGAGGACGAUCCGCCACACUGGGACUGAGACACGGACCAGACUCCUACGGGAGGCAGCAGUGGGGAAUCUUGGACAAUGGGGGCAACCCUGAUCCAGCAAUGCCGCGUGGGUGAAGAAGGCCUUCGGGUUGUAAAGCCCUUUCGGCAGGGAAGAAAUCGGCGGGGCGAAUAACCCUGCUGGAUGACGGUACCUGCAGAAGAAGCACCGGCUAACUACGUG
Molecule: ribosomal RNA, 490 nt
Filed under: uncultured bacterium
Lineage: Bacteria
Description: partial 16S ribosomal RNA
Rfam family: Bacterial small subunit ribosomal RNA
Source: RNAcentral